Non-coding RNA from Pelobates cultripes (western spadefoot toad), 222 nucleotides. The record is from the annotation of a GenBank genome assembly. NCBI's taxonomy places the organism in Eukaryota, Metazoa, Chordata, Amphibia, Anura, Pelobatidae.
CUUGAGUUUAUUUUGCAAGUGCUGUACAUGACAUUAGUGAAUGCUGUGCAAACUUCACACAAACAAAAAUAACUUACAUUCAUGUUAUCUUUCCCAGUUUUUACAGCAUUUUCUUUUUUAUUGCUACAAUUAUUCCAAAACAAAUAAAGGGAAUACAUUUAGUAGCAUGGCACACUCUGCACGAUAUAUUUGAAAGUCAUGUAUUAGUCUGACUAAAUAAAG